RNAcentral lists this unclassified non-coding RNA (317 nucleotides) under plant metagenome. Its description in RNAcentral is "partial contains 5.8S ribosomal RNA, internal transcribed spacer 2, and large subunit ribosomal RNA". The stretch from base 1 to 102 matches the Rfam family "5.8S ribosomal RNA", at positions 53 to 154 of the family's 154-position model. The record is from RNAcentral.
AUGCGAUAAGUAAUGUGAAUUGCAGAAUUCAGUGAAUCAUCGAAUCUUUGAACGCACAUUGCGCCCGCCAGUAUUCUGGCGGGCAUGCCUGUUCGAGCGUCAUUACAACCCUCAGGCCCCCGGGCCUGGCGUUGGGGAUCGGCGGAAGCCCCCUGCGGGCACAACGCCGUCCCCCAAAUACAGUGGCGGUCCCGCCGCAGCUUCCAUUGCGUAGUAGCUAACACCUCGCAACUGGAGAGCGGCGCGGCCACGCCGUAAAACACCCAACUUCUGAAUGUUGACCUCGAAUCAGGUAGGAAUACCCGCUGAAUUUAAGC